This 460-nucleotide ribosomal RNA is filed under the name uncultured bacterium. RNAcentral describes it as "partial 16S ribosomal RNA". It matches the Rfam family "Bacterial small subunit ribosomal RNA", at positions 338 to 795 of the family's 1533-position model. The record is from RNAcentral.
CCUACGGGAGGCAGCAGUGAGGAAUAUUGGUCAAUGGGCGCAAGCCUGAACCAGCCAAGUCGCGUGAGGGAUGACGGUCCUAUGGAUUGUAAACCUCUUUUGUCGGGGAGCAAGGCCCGCCACGUGUGGCGGGAAGGAGAGUACCCGAAGAAAAAGCAUCGGCUAACUCCGUGCCAGCAGCCGCGGUAAUACGGAGGAUGCGAGCGUUAUCCGGAUUUAUUGGGUUUAAAGGGUGCGUAGGCGGAAGGUUAAGUCAGCGGUAAAAUGGCGGUGCUCAAAACCGGCCUGCCGUUGAAACUGGUCUUCUUGAGUGAGCGAGAAGUAUGCGGAAUGCGUGGUGUAGCGGUGAAAUGCAUAGAUAUCACGCAGAAUUCCGAUUGCGAAGGCAGCAUACCGGCGCUCAACUGACGCUGAGGCACGAAAGCGUGGGGAUCGAACAGGAUUAGAUACCCUAGUAGUC